GGAUUGUAGCUUAGUGGUAGAGCACUUGCCUCCCAUGCAUGAGGCCCUGGGUUCGAUCCUCAGUACCA
Molecule: transfer RNA, 68 nt
Filed under: Marmota monax (woodchuck)
Lineage: Eukaryota; Metazoa; Chordata; Mammalia; Rodentia; Sciuridae
Description: tRNA.Gly
Rfam family: tRNA (bases 5-65)
About the family: Transfer RNA (tRNA) molecules are approximately 80 nucleotides in length. Their secondary structure includes four short double-helical elements and three loops (D, anti-codon, and T loops). Further hydrogen bonds mediate the characteristic L-shaped molecular structure. tRNAs have two regions of fundamental functional importance: the anti-codon, which is responsible for specific mRNA codon recognition, and the 3' end, to which the tRNAs corresponding amino acid is attached (by aminoacyl-tRNA synthetases). tRNAs cope with the degeneracy of the genetic code in two manners: having more than one tRNA (with a specific anti-codon) for a particular amino acid; and 'wobble' base-pairing, i.e. permitting non-standard base-pairing at the 3rd anti-codon position.
Source: RNAcentral